This 65-nucleotide transfer RNA is filed under the name Potamotyphlus kaupii. RNAcentral describes it as "tRNA-Phe". The record is from RNAcentral. Lineage: Eukaryota; Metazoa; Chordata; Amphibia; Gymnophiona; Typhlonectidae.
GUUAUGUAGCUUAACUAAAGCAUGGUGCUGAAGACACCAAGACGAAACUAAUACUUCCAAAACCA